RNAcentral lists this ribosomal RNA (491 nucleotides) under uncultured bacterium. RNAcentral's name for it is "partial 16S ribosomal RNA". It matches the Rfam family "Bacterial small subunit ribosomal RNA", at positions 29 to 506 of the family's 1533-position model. The record is from RNAcentral.
AGUGAACGCUGGCGGUAGGCCUAACACAUGCAAGUCGAACGGUAGCACAGUAAGAGCUUGCUCUUACGGGUGGCGAGUGGCGGACGGGUGAGGAAUACAUCGGAAUCUACUUUUUCGUGGGGGAUAACGUAGGGAAACUUACGCUAAUACCGCAUACGACCUACGGGUGAAAGCAGGGGAUCUUCGGACCUUGCGCGAUUGAAUGAGCCGAUGUCGGAUUAGCUAGUUGGCGGGGUAAAGGCCCACCAAGGCGACGAUCCGUAGCUGGUCUGAGAGGAUGAUCAGCCACACUGGAACUGAGACACGGUCCAGACUCCUACGGGAGGCAGCAGUGGGGAAUAUUGGACAAUGGGCGCAAGCCUGAUCCAGCCAUACCGCGUGGGUGAAGAAGGCCUUCGGGUUGUAAAGCCCUUUUGUUGGGAAAGAAAAGCAGCAGGUUAAUACCCCGCUGUUCUGACGGUACCCAAAGAAUAAGCACCGGCUAACUUCGU